Molecule: ribosomal RNA, 239 nt
Filed under: uncultured bacterium
Lineage: Bacteria
Description: partial 16S ribosomal RNA
Rfam family: Bacterial small subunit ribosomal RNA
Source: RNAcentral
CCGGCGCACGGGUGAGUAACACGUAUCCAACCUGCCGUCUACUCUUGGACAGCCUUCUGAAAGGAAGAUUAAUACAAGAUGGCAUCAUGAGUUCACAUGUUCACAUGAUUAAAGGUAUUCCGGUAGACGAUGGGGAUGCGUUCCAUUAGAUAGUAGGCGGGGUAACGGCCCACCUAGUUUUCGAUGGAUAGGGGUUCUGAGAGGAAGGUCCCCCACAUUGGUACUGAGACACGGACCAA